UACGUAGGGGGCGAGCGUUACCCGGAUUUACUGGGCGUAAAGCGCGUGUAGGCGGCUGGCCAAGCGUGGUGUGAAAUCUUCGGGCUUAACCCGAAAACUGCAUUGCGAACUGGUCUGGCUAGAGUGUGUGAGAGGGUAGUGGAAUUCCCGGUGUAGCGGUGAAAUGCGUAGAUAUUCGGAAGAACACCAGUGGCGAAGGCGACUUACUGGACACAUAUUGACGCUGAGGUGCGAAAGCGUGGGGAGCAAACAGG
Molecule: ribosomal RNA, 254 nt
Filed under: uncultured bacterium
Lineage: Bacteria
Description: partial 16S ribosomal RNA
Rfam family: Bacterial small subunit ribosomal RNA
Source: RNAcentral